CGAAACUUUCCUUGGGGAGGUUGAAGGAGACCGUGGUGUUUUGAAGGCUACGGUCGGCCAUUUUUGGUGUCAAUUUUUCCGACGGACUGCCAUGAUCUACGUUCGUUCGUUGCAGUACAUCAGCCUCCGGUCUAGUGGUAAGACUUGGUGUGCAUCGUGAUGUUCCCUUCUACAAACAUUCAUGGUGUACAAUGCAGAUGGUGCAUGCAUACGUUGUGCACUGUGCCGAGUGUAUAAGAGCUUACGAGAAAAAAUACACCGCAGCCUGACCACUCCAGGGCAGCAUUUCUCUAUGGAUAAUGGAUAUGUUGCGGUCCUUCUCCUGCCAUUCAUGGAUGAUUGAAAUAUAUAGCUCACCGUUGUCUCUGCCUGCUGCCAUUUCGCCUCGGGUAGCGCGAAGUGGCCUUAUAAAACCUUGCAUUGUCGGGAGGCAAUCAAGGCUCCUCAUCUGUGGCUGUGAGGAGGAAAUCAUUGAGACAAAUGACGACACAUCCCUAGAAGAGGCGCUAGUGAUGUGCCUAUGCCUUUAUUGUAUGUAAUAUAUAACUUAUCUGGCAGUGUAAGACCAGUUUUUGUGCAAACAACUACAAAGCCAAGAACAAGUAAAGAAAUAUCAUGGGCGCAAACAAGAUUAAAGGAUUUGUUCACUGCAUUGCUCAUUUAAAUCAAGCUCAUAUGAAUACUUACGCUCUCUCAGCGAUCUCAAAAUGCUUUAACUCUAAGUUUUGUUUUUAA
Molecule: long non-coding RNA, 735 nt
Organism: Dermacentor albipictus
Lineage: Eukaryota; Metazoa; Arthropoda; Arachnida; Ixodida; Ixodidae
Source: RefSeq, a predicted model, not a curated record